CCGAAGUGGUGGGACCAGGAGUGCCAGCGAGGACAGAGGGACACUGAAUUCUUCAAAGAAAAAAUAGAUUGGGUCACAUAUGCCCAGAGGUCACUUCUAAUGUUAAAUGUGUUAGGACUAUGAAGAAGAUGCAAUCUUGGAUUUAAUGUUAUGUGCAAAUAAUUCACACUAGGUUAUAUUUUGGGUACGAUGAGAACAGAUCCGACAACGCAGAAUGAGGGAUCAGUCAGUAAAAACAAGAACUUUUGCAACAACGUCCUUACAAGAGAGGAGAGAAUUAUCACCACAAAAUCAAAGAUGUUCCAUGCAACUGUGAAGAAAUAACAACGGAGGGCAAAGAUCUUGAUCAGGCAUU
Molecule: long non-coding RNA, 355 nt
Organism: Perca fluviatilis (European perch)
Lineage: Eukaryota; Metazoa; Chordata; Actinopteri; Perciformes; Percidae
Exons: 3
Source: RefSeq, a predicted model, not a curated record